Molecule: small nuclear RNA, 106 nt
Organism: Mastomys coucha (southern multimammate mouse)
Lineage: Eukaryota; Metazoa; Chordata; Mammalia; Rodentia; Muridae
Source: RefSeq, a predicted model, not a curated record
GUGCUUGCUUUGGCAGCACACAUAAAAAAUGUAAAAUAAUAUGGAGUAGAUGAGGAUGGUCCUUGUGCAAGAUAACCCAUAAAUUCAUGAAACAUUCCAUAUCUUU